UACGUAGGGAGCAAGCGUUGUCCGGAUUUAUUGGGCGUAAAGGGCGUGUAGGCGGCCAGGUAGGUCCGCUGUGAAAACCCGAGGCUCAACCUCGGGACGUCGGCGGAAACCAUCUGGCUAGAGUCCGGAAGAGGAGAGUGGAAUUCCCGGUGUAGCGGUGAAAUGCGCAGAUAUCGGGAAGAACACCCGUGGCGAAGGCGGCUCUCUGGGACGGUACUGACGCUGAGACGCGAAAGCGUGGGGAGCGAACAGG
This 253-nucleotide ribosomal RNA is filed under the name uncultured bacterium. RNAcentral's name for it is "partial 16S ribosomal RNA". It matches the Rfam family "Bacterial small subunit ribosomal RNA", at positions 524 to 776 of the family's 1533-position model. The record is from RNAcentral.